This 476-nucleotide ribosomal RNA is filed under the name uncultured soil bacterium. Its description in RNAcentral is "bacterial SSU rRNA". It matches the Rfam family "Bacterial small subunit ribosomal RNA", at positions 26 to 492 of the family's 1533-position model. The record is from RNAcentral.
AGGACGAACGCUGGCGGCGUGCUUAACACAUGCAAGUCGUGGGCAUGGGGUAACCCAUGACCGGCGAACGGGUGCGUAACACGUGAGCGACCGUCCCUACGUGAGGGGGAUAGCCGGCCCAACGGCCGGGUAAUACCGCAUACGCUUGGCAGGGGGCACUCCCCCGCCAAGGAAACCUCAGGGGCACGAGGACGGGCUCGCGGCCUAUCAGCUAGUUGGCGGGGUAACGGCCCACCAAGGCGACGACGGGUAGCUGGUCUGAGAGGAUGGCCAGCCACAUUGGGACUGAGAUACGGCCCAGACCUCCUACGGGAGGCAGCAGGUGGGGAAUAGUUGCGCAAGUGGCCGAAAGCUGACGCAGCGACGCCGCGUGUAGGAGUGACCGUCCCGUUCGGGUGUAAACGUACUUGGUUCGCCCGGGGACGAAACGAGGAGUAUUUAGACUCUCCCGUGGACGGUACCGGGUGAAGGAAGCG